AGAAAGGUAAGCUAAAUUUGAAGCUAAUAGGUUCAUACCCUAUUUAUAGAGAAACUCUCCUCUCUA
Molecule: transfer RNA, 66 nt
Filed under: Caystrus obscurus
Lineage: Eukaryota; Metazoa; Arthropoda; Insecta; Hemiptera; Pentatomidae
Description: tRNA-Met
Source: RNAcentral